This is a transfer RNA of Ophiostoma piceae, 86 nucleotides long. It matches the Rfam family "tRNA". From Rfam's summary of the family: Transfer RNA (tRNA) molecules are approximately 80 nucleotides in length. Their secondary structure includes four short double-helical elements and three loops (D, anti-codon, and T loops). Further hydrogen bonds mediate the characteristic L-shaped molecular structure. tRNAs have two regions of fundamental functional importance: the anti-codon, which is responsible for specific mRNA codon recognition, and the 3' end, to which the tRNAs corresponding amino acid is attached (by aminoacyl-tRNA synthetases). tRNAs cope with the degeneracy of the genetic code in two manners: having more than one tRNA (with a specific anti-codon) for a particular amino acid; and 'wobble' base-pairing, i.e. permitting non-standard base-pairing at the 3rd anti-codon position. The record is from Rfam. NCBI's taxonomy places the organism in Eukaryota, Fungi, Ascomycota, Sordariomycetes, Ophiostomatales, Ophiostomataceae.
GGACCUGUGGCGUAAUGGUAACGCGUCUGAUUCCAGUUCAAGUUGGAGCAUCCAGAAGAUUAUCCGUUCGAUUCGGGUCAGGUUCA